UACGUAGGGUGCAAGCGUUGUCCGGAAUUAUUGGGCGUAAAGAGCUCGUAGGCGGUCUGUUGCGUCGGCUGUGAAAACCCGGGGCUCAACCCCGGGCCUGCAGCCGAUACGGGCAGACUAGAGUUCGGCAGGGGAGACUGGAAUUCCUGGUGUAGCGGUGAAAUGCGCAGAUAUCAGGAAGAACACCCGUGGCGAAGGCGGCUCUCUGGGACGGUACUGACGCUGAGACGCGAAAGCGUGGGGAGCGAACAGG
This 253-nucleotide ribosomal RNA is filed under the name uncultured bacterium. RNAcentral's name for it is "partial 16S ribosomal RNA". It matches the Rfam family "Bacterial small subunit ribosomal RNA", at positions 524 to 776 of the family's 1533-position model. The record is from RNAcentral.